CGCUUUCUGCAGAGUCACUGAAGGAAAGAUCCAUGAAGGGGAAGGUGAGACCCUCCUGGCCAUCUGGUCAAGUUCCUGGAAGAGGUCAAUUGCAAAUUUAGGAAUGCCAGUGCCAGCCGGGUCGCCUGACAAGCCAUCCUUUCAAGGUCUGUGCGGGCCUGGAAGAGCCUCAGUUCUGUCUCCUGACUUGUGGAGGGUGACUGCCCCGGAGGCCUUGCCACACUGUGCACCAUCAGGGAAUUACUCCGCGGCAUCUCCUUUUCAACCAGUUAGCUCUAGCUUCCACCACACAUAGUGGGGAGGGCUAGGAUUGUCUUUCAAGGAAAGGAAGAGGUAAGCACGUUUUAGGGAAGGAAAAAUCCUUUAACCUAACAUGUUAACUAGUAUAGCAAGUUUUCAAAUAUGCAGAUUAAUAGGGGUUUUCAUAUGAGGAUACUUCAAAAAGUUCAUGUAAAACGGAAGUAAAAUUUAUUUUGGUGCAAAACCAAUUUGAAAUUCAUGUAUAGUUUUUUUUUCUAAUACAUAUUUUACAUGUACUUUUUGAAGACUCCUUGUAUACUUCUAUAUUGAUAUUUUAUUACCAUCUUGUAAUGUUUUUUAAAAAAGAUUCAUUUAUUUAUUUAUUUUGUUUGAAAGACAGAGACACACACACACAAAGAGAGAGAGAGAGAAACAGUGAGGGAGCACUCUCAUCUACUGGUUCAUUCCCCAAAUGCCCUGACACCAGGCGUUGGGCCAGGUUGAAGCCAGGAGCCUAUCACAUGUGGGUAGACAGUACCAAGUCUUAAAACCAUAGCCUGCGGCCUCCUGGGCUGCACAUCAACAGGAAGCUGGCAGCGGGAGCUGAACCGGGACUCAAAAGCAGGCUCUUUGGGAUGUGGGCAUCUUAAUCGCUGUGCCAAACACCCGGCCCCUCAUUCUGCUCUCUUAGCUGCUGUUGAAUCAUCAACCUCUGCUAUUUUCCCGAGACGUCUCUAUUUUAGCACUGAAAAACUUGGCGUCUCGAAGAAACCCCUCCACCCCAAGCAAAAGAGGACACCUGGUUACCGCUGUGGUUUGAAGAAGUUUUGUUCCCUCUGAAACUCAGGUUGAAGUUUCACCCUAUUUAGAAGUGUUAGGGGUGAGGCCUUUAGGCCUGAAGGGCUCUGCCUUGUGAAUGGAUUAAGCCAUUGCCAAGAUGAACUUGGGAAGGUGAAACUACCAAAUUCUCAUGCCUUUUGCUCUUGCCGGGGUACCUCUGUGCUUCCAUAUUUCUGUGCCUGUUUGGCAGCUGGUGUCAUGGUAACGGACAGGUCCACCUGCUGGGCUAGCUGCCCACAAGUCUGUGAUGUAAUGGUUUGGCUCUGGGCCACAUUUAUCUGUAACCCAUAUAAGCUAGUGGGGGGCAUGGCUGGAUGCAGUUGCCUGGGGAUGGAUGUGGACACAUGUGCAGCUGCUUGUGGCUGUGUGGAGAUGUCUGACUGCCAUUGUGGACACAAAGGCGGAAAUCUCCUGUGGCUCCACCACCAGUCUGUUCCUUGUGCAUUUCUCACCGCACCACUGUUUGGAAAGGAGAAAGAAACCCACAAAUGGCUCCGAGUUGUCCUCUGCCCUGUUGGAAUCUAGAUCUGCUUGUCGUGGGCCUAAGCCCCGGCAUACAACCAUUCAUGUCUGACCCAGUGGCUCCCUUACCUUGCUAUACCUCAUGCCACCAGCAAGAAGGCCAUCACCAGAUGUGAACCCUUGACCUUGGGCUAGAGCUGUGAGUCAAAAUAAACCCCUUCUCUUUGUAA
This is a long non-coding RNA of Oryctolagus cuniculus (rabbit), 1772 nucleotides long. RefSeq lists it as uncharacterized. Lineage: Eukaryota; Metazoa; Chordata; Mammalia; Lagomorpha; Leporidae. The record is from RefSeq and is a predicted model, not a curated record.